GAUGAACGCUGGCGGCGUGCCUAAUACAUGCAUGUCGAGCGAACGGACGAGAAGCUUGCUUCUCUGAUGUUAGCGGCGGACGGGUGAGUAACACGUGGAUAACCUACCUAUAAGACUGGGAUAACUUCGGGAAACCGGAGCUAAUACCGGAUAAUAUUUUGAACCGCAUGGUUCAAAAGUGAAAGACGGUCUUGCUGUCACUUAUAGAUGGAUCCGCGCUGCAUUAGCUAGUUGGUAAGGUAACGGCUUACCAAGGCAACGAUGCAUAGCCGACCUGAGAGGGGGAUCGGCCACACUGGAACUGAGACACGGUCCAGACUCCUACGGGAGGCAGCAGUAGGGAAUCUUCCGCAAUGGGCGAAAGCCUGACGGAGCAACGCCGCGUGAGUGAUGAAGGUCUUCGGAUCGUAAAACUCUGUUAUUAGGGAAGAACAUAUGUGUAAGUAACUGUGCACAUCUUGACGGUACCUAAUCAGAAAGCCACGGCUAACUACGU
RNAcentral lists this ribosomal RNA (496 nucleotides) under uncultured bacterium. Its description in RNAcentral is "partial 16S ribosomal RNA". It matches the Rfam family "Bacterial small subunit ribosomal RNA", at positions 28 to 506 of the family's 1533-position model. The record is from RNAcentral.